Molecule: transfer-messenger RNA, 371 nt
Filed under: Gemmatimonadota bacterium
Lineage: Bacteria; Pseudomonadati; Gemmatimonadota
Rfam family: transfer-messenger RNA
About the family: Bacterial tmRNA, also known as 10Sa RNA or SsrA, is named for its dual tRNA and mRNA-like properties.
Source: RNAcentral
GGGGGUGACCUGGCUUCGACGUGUAUCGUGAAGUCCUGGUUGCGUGCCGAGGUCUCCGAGUGCCUCGUAAAAAAAGCGGAAAAAUAGUAAUCGCGAACGAUAACUUCGCUCUGGCUGCGUAAGUCGAACCCUAGCUGGUUCCUUGCCUCCCGUCCGUCGAUCAGACCUGCCUGAGCCGGGUCGUCGGGCGUCAAUAAAUUCAGGCUGGCCCGUUCAAGCGCCGUGGUAGAUCGGGUGAGAUAACAUGGCUGGCCCACGAAAGGCUUUCUACUGGCCGACCCGAGGGCGAGACACGAAUCAGUGGAAUACGCACGUAGACGCCGGGAGGGAUCGGUAGGCGGACCGGGGUUCGAUUCCCCGCACCUCCAUUU